RNAcentral lists this ribosomal RNA (490 nucleotides) under uncultured bacterium. RNAcentral describes it as "partial 16S ribosomal RNA". It matches the Rfam family "Bacterial small subunit ribosomal RNA", at positions 30 to 507 of the family's 1533-position model. The record is from RNAcentral.
AUUGAACGCUGGCGGCAGGCCUAACACAUGCAAGUCGAACGGUAACAGGAAACAGCUUGCUGUUUCGCCGACGAGUGGCGGACGGGUGAGACAUGUCUGGGAAACUGCCUGAUGGAGGGGGAUAACUACUGGAAACGGUAGCUAAUACCGCAUAACGUCGCAAGACCAAAGAGGGGGACCCUCGGGCCUCUUGCCAUCGGCUGUGCCCAGAUGGGAUUAGCUUGUUGGUGGGGUAACGGCUCACCAAGGCCACGAUCCCUAGCUGGUCUGAGAGGAUGACCAGCCACACUGGAACUGAGACACGGUCCAGACUCCUACGGGAGGCAGCAGUGGGGAAUAUUGCACAAUGGGCGCAAGCCUGAUGCAGCCAUGCCGCGUGUAUGAAGAAGGCCUUCGGGUUGUAAAGUACUUUCAGCGGGGAGGAAGAGAGUAAAGUUAAUACCUUUGCUCAUUGACGUUACCCGCAGAAGAAGCACCGGCUAACUCCGUG